CUCUGCAAAGAUCUUUGUGUGUCUGGCUCUGGGGUGUGUGUUUUUAUUUUUUUAGUGGGGGGUGGUUUAGUUUUUGAAAGCAGCGUCCUGUUGGGAAAGGUGGUUAGUCUGGUUUCGGGGCGACUGUCUCAAGGUAAAGGAAUUUAAUUUAUUUGGGACAAGGCUGUGUCGGAUGAUCAAGCUGCUUAUUAUGGCUAAUGAGUAUUUUUCACCUGAGAAUCUGUGGGAUGAGGUGGCUGUUAUCAGUUCAAAGUGAGGGGCCCCGGACUGUCUCCCACCUGCCUCUUUAGCCCCCACCCUAGGGGUGGUGAUGGACCAGACAGACUACUCAACGUAGGCAUCUGGGUUUGGGGGCCUCCUGUGGGACAAGGCCGGGGGCUCCAGGAGGCCUGGUGCUCACCUGGGGCAGUUUAUCCUGAUAUUUUGGUGUUUUCUUGGGUUUAAUCUAAUUCUUUCCAGUGUUUUUGCCUUCAGCUCUUGCGGGCUUCCCAUGGGCCCUGGCUAUUGAAACCAAAUUUUGACCAGGACCCUCACGUGCUAGGUUGACAAAAGCAGCUGUCUUCUUAAAUGUUUUAAAAGAAACAAGCAGCCCGAUCAUUCAUUGAGACUGAUCUCUGAACUCUCCUGGUUCAUUGAUGGGAUAGGUGAUACUGGUGGCUGUUAGCGUUGUUGUUUAUAAUAGGCCCAAGUUCACAGCAUCGGCCCUUGGGACCCAUGAGCUGAUAUCUGACCUUCUAAAGGUCAGUGGGCAGAGAGACCGGAGGCAGCCCUGAGGGGAUGAGGAUGGGUGGCACGGUGGCCGGUGAAGAAGGGCCUGUGUUUGUUGGGGGGAGGUGUCAUUUGCAGAGUUUGAGGACUGUGUGACACCAGGUGUGAUCUUGGCUGGUCUGACGUGGAGGGCCUGGGGACCUCUGCGCCCGGGAAGGGUGUGACACCCCCUGCUGGGCAAAGUGGUAAAGGUGUCUAAGGCCAAGGCUGCCACCCUGCCCCUCCCUGCCCUCCACUCCCACAGAGAACCUGCCUGCCCCCACCUCCAGUCGGUGUCUCAUCACCUCCCUCUCAGGCCCCACCCCCUUUCUUCGGAAAUGGGGCCCCCACCCAUCCCAGCCAAGAAGCAGACCUCAGAGAUGGGCCUGGUGGCAAUGCACCACCCCUUACCUGGGGCAGGAGAGCCUCUGCUUGUGGGCCAGCACACAGGACCCAGGCAUUGCAGAGCUGGAAGGCAGGCCCUCUGGUCGGCCUCCUCCUAACCUGGGUGCCAGCUGGAGCCAGCGUCCAUCCUCCUGCCAUCCACCAACCAGUCCCUCCAAGUCUGUCGUGGGGACAGUACUCCAAAGCCCUUCUCUAGGGUGUCCUGACUGGAGCGAGGGCCUCCCAGCCCUGGUAGGAGGCAGGUGGCAGAGCCUCUUGUGGCUUCUCUCCUGGGCCUUAGGGAGACUGACUUCUCCCAGCACUCCAGGGACAGGCUCUGGAAACUUUUCCUAGAAGCUAGAAGGGACCCUGAGGUCAGCUGCUUCCUCCUGUAGCUGGAGUAGAGCACUCCCAGUGGGACUCAGGCCUGGACUCUGGCCACUCAGAGGGGAGGCCCAGGGUGGCAGAGUUCUGACUGUUUCCUGGAGGAGUCAUCUGGUGAUACCAUCUCAGUCUCUUCUUUGAACUUGGAAGUUUCACUUAUAAUCUCAGAACUUCAGAAGAAAAGCAGUCUUCCCCCCACUUCACCAAAAAAGGGAAGCAGAUGAGGACGCUGAGAUCCCCUCUGAGCUGGUCCCUGGGCUGACUCCAUGCUCAUCUUCAGGAGCUGGGAACAGCUCCCUCAACUUCAUAGUGCACACGGCAUACAGCUGGGGCCAUGGGCCUCGUCUCUGGCCGGGGCUCGUGGCUGGUGAAGUGAGGGUCCCUUCCUCUGGGGCAGCGUGGGCAGCUUCAGCCGAGGGCCUCUCUGACAUAGUCCAAGGCCAGGGGCGCAGGCCUCGAAGGGCUGCUGGCAUCAUGGACCCACCAUGCCUCCCUGAUCAGGCCCGAGUGUCCCCAAGACCCAGUCCUCGGCUUAGAACUGUCCCCAGCCCUUGGUCCCCUGGGCAACAGGCUGUCCCAGGUAAAACAGGAAGGAGAAAGGUGAGAGGGGGCGUGAUACAAGCCCCCCCAGGGCUGCCCCAUAGUUGGUGUGUGACCUGUUUCCAGGCCCCACCUCGUGCUCCCUUGGUAGGGGCGGGGGAUGAUUUCUGACAUUGGUUUGAGCUCUAGAAUUUUUUUUCUGCCAACUUUAUCAGAAAGCAUAUUUGUGGUGAGUGCUGCUAACAGGGCCAGUCCAGUGAGUAAAUAUUCCUGGUGUGGACGGCCCUGUGACCUUGAGAGGGAAGAGUACAGUGGUUCGGCCAAGGGCAUGUAAGGAGAGGAGAGGACGGCCAGGCGCCCACAGGCCCCCGUGCUGGGUGGGGGGCCCUUCCUG
Molecule: long non-coding RNA, 2449 nt
Filed under: Homo sapiens (human)
Lineage: Eukaryota; Metazoa; Chordata; Mammalia; Primates; Hominidae
Description: HSALNT0290252
Source: RNAcentral